AGGUGGACAGGCAGGAAGAGAGAAUGCCGGUAUGAGUAGCGAAAAGAAGGGUGAGAAUCCCUUCCACCGAAAGCCUAAGGGUUCCUGGGCAACGAUCGUCGUCCCAGGGUAAGUCGGGACCUAAUCCGAGGCGGAGACGCGUAGGAGAUGGACAACAGGUUGAAAUUCCUGUACUGGCUGAGGCCGUUUGAGCGAAGGAGUGACACAGGAAGGAAGGCGCGCGUGCGAUUGGAAGAGCACGUCCAAGCAGGUAGGUUGGGAGACAGGCAAAUCCGUUUCCCAUGAGGCCGAGAUGCGAUGGGGAGCUUCUGGAGACAGAAGCGAAGGGGCUGGCACUAAACUGUCGAGAAAAGCUUCUAGUGAGGACUCAGGCACCCGUACCGAAACCGACACAGGUAGGCAGGAUGAGAAUUCUAAGGUGCGCGGGAAAACCCUCGUUAAGGAACUCGGCAAAAUAUAUCCGUAACUUCGGGAAAAGGAUAACCCAGCGUACGUGAAGUGCAGAAGCGCAUGGAGCGGAGAUGGGUGGCAGAAGAGAGGCCCAAGCGACUGUUUACCACAAACACAGGCGUCUGCUAAAGCGAAAGCUGAUGUAUAGAUGCUGACACCUGCCCGGUGCUGGAAGGUUAAGAGGAAGUGUUAGCGCAAGCGAAGCAGUGAAUUGAAGCCCCAGUAAACGGCGGCCGUAACUAUAACGGUCCUAAGGUAGCGAAAUUCCUUGUCGGGUAAGUUCCGACCCGCACGAAAGGUGUAACGAUUUGGGCACUGUCUCAACGAGGGACCCGGUGAAAUUGAAGUACCUGUGAAGAUGCAGGUUACCCGCGACUGGACAGAAAGACCCCAUGGAGCUUUACUGUAACCUGAGAUUGGAUUCCGGUAAGAGAUGUACAGGAUAGUUGGGAGGCUGAGAAGUGAGUACGCCAGUAUUCACAGAGCCGCUGGUGGGAUACCAACCUUGUUUUAUUGGAAUUCUAACGAGAAGCGUAACGAGCUUGCGGACAGUCUCAGGCGGGCAGUUUGACUGGGGCGGUCGCCUCCGAAAGAGUAACGGAGGCGCCCAAAGGUUCCCUCAGCGCGGACGGAAACCGCGCGAAGAGUGCAAAGGCAGAAGGGAGCUUGACUGCGAGACGGACAGGUCGAGCAGGGACGAAAGUCGGGCUUAGUGAUCCGGUGGUAGAGAGUGGAAUUGCCAUCGCUCAACGGAUAAAAGCUACCCUGGGGAUAACAGGCUUAUCUCUCCCAAGAGUCCAUAUCGACGGGGAGGUUUGGCACCUCGAUGUCGGCUCAUCACAUCCUGGGGCUGAAGUAGGUCCCAAGGGUUGGGCUGUUCGCCCAUUAAAGUGGUACGCGAGCUGGGUUCA
RNAcentral lists this ribosomal RNA (1361 nucleotides) under Megasphaera elsdenii. Its description in RNAcentral is "bacterial LSU rRNA". It matches the Rfam family "Bacterial large subunit ribosomal RNA", at positions 1271 to 2613 of the family's 2925-position model. The record is from RNAcentral. Lineage: Bacteria; Bacillati; Bacillota; Negativicutes; Veillonellales; Veillonellaceae.